Schistocerca nitens (vagrant locust) is the source of this 1095-nucleotide long non-coding RNA. RefSeq lists it as uncharacterized. The record is from RefSeq and is a predicted model, not a curated record. Lineage: Eukaryota; Metazoa; Arthropoda; Insecta; Orthoptera; Acrididae. The transcript has 2 exons.
UAUACUGUAUCAAAAGCUAACAGAAGAAACACUGAACUACAAAAACAGUUUAACCAACGCCACCUUGAAAUACAAGGAUUUUAAAAUAGACAGCUUGAAGCCUUUAGAAAUCUCAUUUAUACUGAUAAAUAUCAUUUUCCGUUUUUCGACUGCCGGAGUAUACUUGUACCUUCCCCAGUUACGUAACUUGCCUGGAAAGAUUUUCUUGUCCUUUCAGAUCACGUGCAUAACCCAGAUCCUGUGCUCUGAGGUCGUGUAUCGUAUGGCAGGCGUCCCUGACUUACCUACAGCAGUGCUGAUAGACAGCGCCCUCACACUUCUCAGCUGUUUCUGGCUGAACUCAUUCUGCUACCACAUGUAUGCUUGUGUUCGCCAUCUCAGGCUUUCUGACCAGCUACUACCUGCUGAAGUAAGCCAGUUAUUCCGUCGUGAGGUGCUGUGUGUGUUUAUACCGUGGAGUAUAGUAUGUGUGGCAGCUGUUGCUUUGGAAAAGACGAGUAAAUAUCACCUGAUGCACAGUCGUAUAGUAGUCCUUGCAGGGAUUUCAGUGUCUGUGGCAUUCAAUUUCGUUUGUCUCGGACUGCUUGGAUACAUGUACGUACGUACUCGGUGCUCCAUGCGGCAACUCAAAAUUGUUGAUAACAAGAAAUUUGCCUCAAAGAAGCAAUGUCUUUUUAUGUCAGUUAAGGCCAUUAUAUUAAGUGGAACAGGAAUUAUUAUUAGAAUUGGGUUCCACCAGGCUCAGGGAAUAGCGCAGUUUGUGUACUAUAUGCAUCUAGCUACGAUGGUUCAAGGACCAGUGCUCUUCGUCUGUUUCGUUUGCAAUGGAACGACGCUCCCCAUACUGAAGAACAGGAUACUUCUUUGGUGGAACCCAACCAACAUCCCUGCAGGUCUAGAGCUGUGUUCGGCAGCCGAGAGGAAUCUGGCCAGGAGAAACAAUGAACAGUCUCCCUUUUCAGAAUCCUCGCUGUAGCCUCCUUCAGUAUUUUUCGCAAAUAACUGUCUCCACACUACACUGCAUUAAGCCCAGCAAUAAAAAUGGACUCUACCUGGUAUGACAAUAUUAAAUGUCAUUAAAUCUCAUAUCGUACA